This 433-nucleotide ribosomal RNA is filed under the name uncultured bacterium. RNAcentral describes it as "bacterial SSU rRNA". It matches the Rfam family "Bacterial small subunit ribosomal RNA", at positions 767 to 1204 of the family's 1533-position model. The record is from RNAcentral.
AGCUAAUAGAUACCCUGGUAGUCCACGCUGUAAACGAUGGGUACUAGGCUUUGUGGGAAUAGACCCCUGCAGAGCCGGAGCUAACGCAAUAAGUACCCCGCCUGGGAAGUACGGUCGCAAGACUAAAACUCAAAGGAAUUGACGGGGGCCCGCACAAGCGGUGGAUCAUGUGGUUUAAAAUUCGAAGCAACGCGCAAAACCUUACCUGGGUUUGACAUCCCCGGACAUCCGUAGAAAUACGGCUUCUGUAGCAAUACAGCCGGGAGACAGGUGCUGCAUGGCUGUCGUCAGCUCGUGUGGUGACAUGUUGGGUUAAGUCCCGCAACGAGCGCAACCCUUGUCUUUAGUUGCCAGCAUUCAGUUGGGCACUCUAGAGAGACUGCCGUGGUUAACACGGAGAAGUGGGGAUGACGUCAAGUCCUCAUGGCCUUUA